Molecule: RNA transcript, 4807 nt
Organism: Gambusia affinis (western mosquitofish)
Lineage: Eukaryota; Metazoa; Chordata; Actinopteri; Cyprinodontiformes; Poeciliidae
Gene name: GTPase IMAP family member 8-like
Exons: 7
Source: RefSeq, a predicted model, not a curated record
UCUUAAAUGUUUUUUUUAAUCUUCAAUUCUUAGUUUAGCACAAAAAUAUUUUUCAGUUUCAAUUUAUUUAUUUUAUUUUAUUAUUCCAGUUUAGCUUCAUAGAGGCGGUCCAAACUAACUGGUGGUUCUGGCACACAGAGGGGAAGUACUGGAUCUGUCCAGCAGAGGGCGCACCCUUCCCCACUGUCAUAAAUCACUUAUUUGUCUUUCCACACGGGACAACGCUUUAUAUUAAAACCGGAAGUAAUGAAAAGUAAACAAAUCUCAAGAGAGUCACGUAGAGGAACAUGUUUUAGUUUGAGGGAAUGACUGAGGGUGUUUUGCAGGUCGGAUCCAAAGAGAAGAGAACCGGCUUCUGCUGAAGACGUUCUGCUCAGUGUUGGGUUGGACCAUGCAGACAGAAAUUAACAGGAGAGGAUUUACGGAAAAUUUUAUUGAACGGCAGCACUUGAAGCUCAAAGAUCUAAAAAGAGAAGCUCUAGAUGCAGGUGUGGAAAAUGGAUAUCUGCACAAAACAAACAUCCCAGAAUAUCCCAAACCAGAGUUCCACGUGAGUCUUCUGAAACAUGAAACUACAGGAUCAGCACUACGUGGGAUCAGGAGGGAUGGGGGCUUCAGAAAUCCAUAUGGAGAAUCUCUGAUAUGGUGGAGUCUGUCUGUGGGACCAGACCAGAUGAGGGACGCAGAGACGAGGCUCCUGGAGAAGACGUUCCCAGACCGGAUGGAGGCCGAAGAUCCUGAGCAGCAGAGCUUCCUGUGGAGGUUUGCCACGUCUCCAGCCUUCAAGGAGACGUCCCGGCUGGGCUGGUACCGCUUCACCUUCCCCCUGCAGGAGGUGCUGACGGCCUACAGAGACCAGCUCUGCUCUGGAGCCCAACCCAUCAUGCGGACGUACAGAACCGUGCUGUACUCAAAGGAAGUGAUGCAUGUGGUUCUGAUCCACAGUCCUGCCAAUGAGAUGGAGUUCUCCCAGUACCCCCUCCUGAGCGACUCCCCGGAUGCUGUGUGUGUUUACAGGGACGGAUGUUUCCUGUGGAGACCAGAGGCCAUGUGUGAGACUCACUGGUACAAGCUGAUCUGCCGGCAGAGAACCAAUCAGCUGGAAGCCUGGAGCGCCUCCUCACCUCAGUUCUAUGUUUGGGAUCACGUUGCUGUCGCCUUCCAUGUGGGUCAGAACCAGGUGUUGAAGUUUCCUGCUGAUCAACUGAGAGCCAGGUUGGGGUUCUGCCAGCUGGAUGCAGUGAACUAUAGUGCAACCAGUGAAAACCCAGAGGAUUUUGAAGACGCUAAAGCGGCAGUGAAGGGGCUGUGGCCGGGCUGGAGCGGCCCUCUGCAGGUGGAGCGCUCCCUGAAGCAGACCUUGACAGUUUCAGACAUCCAGCUGGUUCUGGUUGGGUGGGCUGGAGUUGGGAAGAGCUCCAGUGGGAACACCAUCCUGGGAAGAAACGCCUUCAGGACCAGCAGGGCUGCAGCCAGUCCACCUUCAGGUAGAAGCCGCUGCUGUCUGCAGAGAGGCAACGUCUUCAGCAGGGAGGUGACCGUCAUCGACACUCCAGCUCUCCCAGAAACAUCCGACCCUGAGGUGAGGAAGGAGAUCUUCAGGUGCAUCAACCGGUCGACGCCGGCGCCCCACGCCAUCCUGCUGGUCGUCAGACUGGGGUUCCUCACUACGCAUGUAGAGGAAACGGUGAAGCAGCUGGAAAAGAUGUUUGGAGAAAAUGUCUGGAGGCGCACCAUGAUCCUGCUCACCUACCAGAACCAGGCAGAACCAGACAUCCAGAGGCAUCUGAAGGAGAAUGAAAACCAACUGUUCAGGAAAGUAGGCAACAGAUUUCAGGUCCUAAAUAACAACCCGCAUCACAGAGACGUUCAGCAGGUCUGGGAUCUGCUGCACAAGGUCACCCAGCUGCUCAGUGAUCUCAAGUAGACUUUAAAGCAUAAAGCCUUCAGAUCAGGUCAAAACCUCAGAUCAUUUUCAGGGUUUAAAGGAUCUUUUAUCACCUGAAGAACAUCUGACAUUUGGUCGUUUUUAUUUCAGUAGAUUUUAUCCAAUCAUUGAUGCUAAAGCAUAGAUAAAUGCAGGGAUACAGGAACGAUCAGAAAGCUUAGUAAAUUACAGUAAUUUUUAUUUUACUGGACCUGAAUUUAAAGAAUGUACUUCACUGUUGGCUCCCCUUUGUCAGUGACCAAAAACCCACAAUAGUCACUGAAAUAACUUGAAUCGGAUAAGUCCUGGUAAAGGGUAAAAGGACUGUUCUUGCAAAGUGCUUUAUGACGUCCAGAGAACCCAAAAGCACUUUUCUACUUGCAGGCCCAGUCCCUGCUUUAGGCACAGUCCCAGUACUCGCCCUUCACCCUACGUGCUUUAUGAAGUGUGGACUCAGUCAAAGGGAACUUCAGGAUUCGAUUGCACAGGUUACAAGUGUGCAAAAAUUAGAAAACAGUACGCCCCCGUGUUGUGACUUCGGCAUAAAAACAGCGACCACUGUUUUGGCAUUUCUGCUGCUAAAAUGUACAACAAAAAUAUCUAUUUUAAAUAUAGAGUAAAGGUAUCUCUGGUUUACAAAAUCAUUGCAGGAGAAAUCGGUCUGUUCAAAUGUGUUUGAUAUGACCUGUUGAAUAAUGCAGAUCAAAAUUUGAUCGUAUUCACACAUGUUCAAUGAAACCAAACUUAUUUCAAAACUUUACAAUUGAAAACUGAUUUUUAAGGCAGUGUUCACAGCUUGUUCUGUGAACACUGCCUUCGAUCUGCCAUACUUCCAAUGGCAACUUUUUAUUUUCUGAUGAAAAAUGCCGUUUAAGAUGUACCUACAGUCAAUUUAACAGUCUCAAAGCCAAUUCCUCCUCCUGCUAUGAUUCAGCUAAUUAAAGGAUUGAUUACAUAUUCAACUGUUACUCAAAAGAACAAUCUAUGACUAUUAAUGGCUGUGAGUUUAUAGACAAAAAAUUAAUACAUUCAUAGGGAUCACUGACAUCAAAUUUCUUCCCCACUAGCCUGAGAAGAAAACAUGUUUAAAAAUCAUGAUGAUCUAUCAAAAGAAGAUGCGAACCAAACUAAAAAAUGUAUCGGAAAUGAACCAAUGAAAAUCAGAUUAUGUUUUUUAAUUGUGGUUCAGGAGAAUCAUUUUUAAAAACCUUAACCUGCAGCUAAAAAGCUCUGAGGGAUGGAGACGGUUAUAAGCUCCAGUUUUCUGAGUGUUGGUGAAAAUCUUCUGAACUACAAACGUUGGAGGACAUUUCUGAAACAUGAAGGACAAUCGACUCACCUGCUGCAGAUUUCAAUUCAACAACUGGUGUUGGAGUGACCUCUGACAUUUGCUUAUCUUUAAACAUGGUAGAUAAACAUUUUACAGAUAAUAAAAUGUCUGUUGUUGUCUGCUGCUGUUUUGGUUCCAGCCUCUAAAGAGGACAGAGAUGUUCCUGUCAGUAAUAGUGAUGAUGAUUAUAGGAGCUUUGAGAGGCUUGGAGACCAAGUUUUCUUUUGAGAAAAGCGUUAUGGUGAAUUGCAAUCUCGUUGGUGUGCUCAUUGCUAAUAAAAGUGGAUUGUGUCUUCAUUAUAAGUGCACAACAUUUUCUACCAAGAGGUUUGACAAACAGACACAAGCAGGAUGGCUGAAGCUGAAACCGAGGUCUGGUUGCAGAAGAAAGACGUGGCUGUGAGGAUUAACUGAGACAAAACAGAGUCUCAGAGGACAGCCAAGUUAGUCAGCUGAGCCUGAGACCUCCACUGACACCACACUUCCCAUCAUGCACUCUGUCAUGACAUCCUGCACCGUGUGAAAUGCAGCAGCCUUUCCUUCCUUCCUGGUUUUGAGAAACUUUUCUUAAGGUGGUCUGGAACAAGGACAGGAUUGAACGUGAGCGGGAAAGCAGCCAGUGUCUGGAGAGAGACUGAAAAACCUUCAAAACAUCUGGAGAACUGCUGAUCAGGUUCAGAGGUCAGGAGAACCUCCCGCUCAUUGAAAGGAGAAUUUAAAGAAAUGAAAGUUGGAUCAGAACAGUUGAGUCUGGAGAACUGCUCCUCUCAGUUGUCUCCCUUGCACAAAGGAAUCAUUAAUGAUUAUGUAGCUUCAGUAACAGGGUGUAGAGUCUGACAGUUUGUAAAGAGACGCCCUGACAGUUUUACUGUCUGCUGCAGAUAAGAGCAGAGCCGUCUGUGCUGUGUGAGGCUGUCAAACAGAACCAACACAUUCUGUCUGAAAUGUUUUAGACCAAAAGGACUCCUUCGAUCUACCUUUGGCAGGAUUGGAUCAUGCAGAAACGAACAAACAGGAGAAGAUACACUGAACAUUUUGUUAAACAGCGACACCUGAAGUUGACAGAACUGAAAUUGGAAGCAGAAAGGAUUGGUUUGAAAAACAGAUACCUCCAGACUGAAAACAUCCCAGAAUAUCCCAAACCAGAGUUCCACGUGAGUCUUCUGAAACAUGAAACUACAGGAUCAGCACUACGUGGGAUCAGGAGGGAUGGGGGCUUCAGAAAUCCAUAUGGAGAAUCUCUGAUAUGGUGGAGUCUGUCUGUGGGACCAGACCAGAUGAGGGACGCAGAGACGAGGCUCCUGGAGAAGACGUUCCCAGACCGGAUGGAGGCUGAAGAUCCUGAGCAGCAGAGCUUCCUGUGGAGGUUUGCCACGUCUCCAGCCUUCAAGGAGACGUCCCGGCUGGGCUGGUACCGCUUCACCUUCCCCCUGCAGGAGGUGCUGACGGCCUACAGAGACCAGUCCAGCUAAGCAGAACUUCUCACACUACCCUUUGCUGACCGAUGACCCAGAUGCUGUUUGUGUUUACAAAGACGGACAUUUUGUGUG